This 1540-nucleotide small RNA is filed under the name Arabidopsis thaliana (thale cress). RNAcentral's name for it is "ATSL041880". Lineage: Eukaryota; Viridiplantae; Streptophyta; Magnoliopsida; Brassicales; Brassicaceae. The record is from RNAcentral.
UUUUUGGGUUUUAAACAUCACAUAUACUCGACCAAUGUACACGAGUGCAGGGUCUCAGGUGCAACAGAAAAUUUUCAAAAUUUUGUACUCCAACGGGCUGUACACUCGAUCUCCAGGUCUUCGAUAGAGUAAAAGUUUUAAAUUUUUACUCUAUCUCCGCGUUGUUCUCUUGUCUCUGAAAACCACAAACACAACUAAAACAAAUCAAAAAUAUCAAGAAGGUAAAAAUUAUUUACAAGGAUAGUCAUGGGACCUCCUCCCAAGUGAGCUUGUUUAAAGUCAUUAGCUUGACUCCUUUACUCCUUUAAUCAUCAAGAAGCUCCUGGAGAUGAACCGAUGUCACCUCUGGAAGGAUUUGGUCUGCUAAGUAUUUCUUGAGCCUUUGACCAUUUACUGUAAAAUCUCCACUCUUACCAGCUAGAGUGACUGCUCCAUAAGGACGGACCUCAGUGAUGCAGAAGGGGCCAGACCAUCUGGAUUUAAGUUUUCCUGGAAAGAGUUUCAAGCGAGAGUUGAAUAGCAGCACCUGAACACCAAACUGGAAAUCCUUAGUGAUGAUCUUCUUGUCAUGGAAAAGCUUGGUUCUCUCCUUGUAGAUUUUAGAACUUUCAUAAGCUUCUAGACGGAUCUCAUCGAGGUCACUGAGUUGGAUCAAUCGCUUCUCCUCAGCAGUUUUUAUGUCAAAGUUCAGAAGUUUUACCGCCCACAUUGCUUUGUACUCGAGCUCAACGGGUAGAUGACAUGAUUUUCCAUAGAGAAGAUUGAAAGGAGUUGUACCUAUGGGGGUCUUGAAGGCUGUCCUAUAAGCCCAUAAUGCAUCAUCUAGCUUUGCAGACCAGUCUUUCCUUGUAAUCCCAACAGUCUUUUCCAGAAUUGUUUUUAUCUCCCUAUUGGAGAUCUCAACCUGCCCGCUUGUCUGUGGAUUAUAAGGAGUGGCGACCUUGUGCUUUACCCCAUGCUUCUUCAAGAGGUUCUCAAAAACCUUGUUGAUGAAAUGCUUUCCGCCAUCACUGAUUACUACCCUGGGAACUCCAAAUCUUGGGAAGAUUAUGGUUUUGAACAACUUCAGCACAACUUUUGCAUCGUUGGUAGGACUAGCAAUAGCUUCGACCCAUUUCGAUACGUAGUCUACGGCGACCAGUAUAUAUUUAUUACCGUAUGAAGAUGGGAAUGGACCCAUAAAAUCAAUCCCCCAUACAUCAAAGAUCUCAACUUCCAAGAUUGGGUUCUGAGGCAUCUCAUUUCUUCUACUGAUGUUGCCUUUUCUCUGGCAUGAAUCACACUUUGAAACAAACUCCUGAGCAUCCUUAAACAUUGUUGGCCACCAAAAGCCUGCUUGAAGAAUCUUGGACACUGUCUUGAACGUCGCGAAGUGACCACCAUAUGCUGAGCCAUGGCAAUGCAGCAGGAUACCUUCCACUUCAUCUUCUGAGACACAUCUCCUGUAGAUCUUAUCUUUACAGAGAGUGUAAAGAUAAGGCUCAUCCCAGUAGUAAUGGUGUAUGUCUCUGAAAAACUUCUUCCUUUCAUAACUUGUCAG